UACAGAGGGUGCGAGCGUUAAUCGGAAUGACUGGGCGUAAAGGGCGCGUAGGUGGUUAAAUAAGUGAGCAGUGAAAGUCUAGGGCUCAACCGUAGAAGGUCUGCUUAGACUGUUUAACUAGAGUGCAAGAGAGGGUAGAAGAAUUUCCGGAGUAGCGGUGAAAUGCGUAGAUAUCGGAAGGAAUAUCAGUGGCGAAGGCGUCUACCUGGCUUGACACUGACACUGAGGCGCGAAAGCGUGGGUAGCGAACAGG
RNAcentral lists this ribosomal RNA (253 nucleotides) under uncultured bacterium. Its description in RNAcentral is "partial 16S ribosomal RNA". It matches the Rfam family "Bacterial small subunit ribosomal RNA", at positions 524 to 776 of the family's 1533-position model. The record is from RNAcentral.